Molecule: long non-coding RNA, 435 nt
Organism: Dalotia coriaria
Lineage: Eukaryota; Metazoa; Arthropoda; Insecta; Coleoptera; Staphylinidae
Exons: 3
Source: RefSeq, a predicted model, not a curated record
AACAGCUGUAUUUGAAUAUUUGAUUGUACAAUAAUAUUGAACAGUAAAAUUCUUAUCAUCUGAAAACAUGUGGUUGUGCAGUUGGGUUUCAGUUUGCGCGUUGUUCUGUGACAGUAGUGUAUUUUAAUCAUUAAUUAAAGACUGCAAGGGUAUAACGUGAACAUUAACUAAGAUAAAUGAUGUUCCAGGAGGUUAAGGUUGUCCACAAAUAUCAAAUGGAAUUUGUUCUUAUGGCAGCUAGAAAAAGGAAAAUUUGGAUGUUAAGCAAGAUGAUUGGAUAAAAUUAAAACCAUUUGUUCACCUCCAAUACACUCCUUAGAAUGUGAUGGACCUUAACUACUUAGGAAUGCAAUUUGAGAGGAUAUUGCAAGAAAAUUGCAGACAUAAGGUUUUUGUUGGAAGACUAAACGCACCGCAUUGUUUCAAUCUUUGGGG